ACACCCCUAACAGCUAGCCCCCUCCCCAAAACCAACAAACACCAUUAAUAACCCCUUAUUAAACAUAAACAAAACAUCAAACCAUUUUUCCCCCUCAGUAUAGGCGAUAGAAAAG
Molecule: ribosomal RNA, 115 nt
Filed under: Luciogobius parvulus
Lineage: Eukaryota; Metazoa; Chordata; Actinopteri; Gobiiformes; Gobiidae
Description: partial 16S ribosomal RNA
Source: RNAcentral